CCUAAAAUGAGCAAAUAAGCUGUGCAUCAUCUCUGUGAUUUGGGAAGGAAAUGACUGAAUAUGAUGAAGCCAAUUGAUGAAGAUAUCAAUUGAAUGGCCACCGAGUGCAUCACUGCUACCUGAACCCAUCAGUUAUCUUCUGUGAAGACUGCAUUCACAAACCGCUCUACUGCGACAGCUCAGAUGUUACGGCCUGUAAAAGUAAACAUCACAGCUAAACAACGAGAGCUAGUUGUGGUGGGAUUCUUUUGGCCAAUAUCCCCAACAAGAAUCAAUGACAUCUAGACCAGGUGGAGUGUGAGGAGGACCGUCAGAGACUCCAGCCAGCCGAGCCAUGGAUUGCUCUCACUGUUACCAUCAGGCAGACGUUAUCACAGAACCUACACCAGCAGACAGUGUGACAAGUUCCUUUCACAGGCAAUCAGACUGAACCAAACUCAUACCAGUAAAACCAUACACACCCCACCAACCUCAUAUGCCCUGCACUCUUAUCAGUUAUGCUGACUGGACUCAAUAUUAUUAUGCACCCUGACAUUCUGUUUGCACUAAUUCAUACCGUGCUUUACUGCAGAGAUGUAUGUGUACUGUGAUUAUUAUUGUUUUCAAUUCAUGCUCUUUGUAUAGCAUAAUUUUUAACAUAUAUUGUUCUCUACCUGAAUUGAGUCCCUUAUAUAUGUGUGUUGCAUAUAUAUAUAUUCAGAAUUUGUAUUUCAUAUAUAUUCAUGAAUUAAUUCAUUUGUCAUCCAUACUGUCACGCUGCAGUCUGCACCCAAGACUUUCAUCACCUGUAUACUUGUGUUCAUUGUAUUGUGACAAUAAAGAUAUUUGAUUUAAAUUA
This is a long non-coding RNA of Carassius auratus (goldfish), 838 nucleotides long. RefSeq lists it as uncharacterized. The record is from RefSeq and is a predicted model, not a curated record. The transcript has 3 exons. NCBI's taxonomy places the organism in Eukaryota, Metazoa, Chordata, Actinopteri, Cypriniformes, Cyprinidae.